RNAcentral lists this long non-coding RNA (241 nucleotides) under Elaeis guineensis (African oil palm). Its description in RNAcentral is "long non-coding RNA (EGUI_LNC074626)". The record is from RNAcentral. Lineage: Eukaryota; Viridiplantae; Streptophyta; Magnoliopsida; Arecales; Arecaceae.
CAUGAUUAUUACAUGGCAUUAAAUCAAAAAUUAAAAUAUAUAAAUAUAGCAUGAACUACAUGUUGAUCAUAUCAACAUGUUUCUAUACUACAUCUAAUGUAUGUAUUAAACAAUAGAUCAGAUCUAUUACCUUGCAAGUUAGACGCUCUAACCUCGCUGAUCCGAGCUUAAGGAUGAUGUUGCAAGCCGCACAUGCGUCCGACCUCUAGGAGUCAUCCACACGAGCCCACGAAUCUCGAUC